Molecule: ribosomal RNA, 433 nt
Filed under: uncultured bacterium
Lineage: Bacteria
Description: partial 16S ribosomal RNA
Rfam family: Bacterial small subunit ribosomal RNA
Source: RNAcentral
AACGAACGCUGGCGGCAUGCCUAACACAUGCAAGUCGAACGAGACCUUCGGGUCUAGUGGCGCACGGGUGCGUAACGCGUGGGAACCUGCCCUUAGGUUCGGAAUAACUCCCCGAAAGGGGUGCUAAUACCGGAUAAUGUCUUCGGACCAAAGAUUUAUCGCCUUUGGAUGGGCCCGCGUUGGAUUAGCUAGUUGGUAGGGUAAAAGCCUACCAAGGCGACGAUCCAUAGCUGGUCUGAGAGGAUGAUCAGCCACACUGGGACUGAGACACGGCCCAGACUCCUACGCGAGGGUGCAGUUGGUAGCAUUGGACAAUGGGCGAUAGCCUGACCCAGCAAUGCCGCGUGAGUGAUGCAGGCCUUAGGGUUGUACAGCUCUUUUACCCGAGAUGAUAAUGACAGUACCGGGAGAAUAAGCUCCGGCUAACUACGUG